This 1293-nucleotide ribosomal RNA is filed under the name Nematoda environmental sample. Its description in RNAcentral is "SSU rRNA". It matches the Rfam family "Eukaryotic small subunit ribosomal RNA", at positions 39 to 1340 of the family's 1831-position model. The record is from RNAcentral. Lineage: Eukaryota; Metazoa; Nematoda.
AAAGAUUAAGCCAUGCAUGUCUAAGUACAUUCCGAUAAAUGGAGAAACCGCGAAUGGCUCAUUACAACAGCCAUAGUUUAUUAGAUCUUACUCAACUUGGAUACCUGUGGUAACCUAAGAGCUAAUACAUGCAAUUAAGUCCCGACCUUACGGGAAGGACGCAUUUAUUAGAACAAAACCAAUCGGGCUUUGCCCGUUGUUUGGUGAAUCUGAAUAACUAUGCUGAUCGCACAGUCCACGAACUGGCGACGAUUCUUUCAAAUGUCUGGCUUAUCAACUUUCGACGGUAGUAUACACGGCUACCGUGGUAGUCACGGGUGACGGAGAAUUAGGGUUCGACUCCGGAGAGGGAGCCUGAGAAACGGCUACCACAUCCAAGGAAGGCAGCAGGCACGCAAAUUACCCACUCCCGGUACGGGGAGGUAGUGACGAAAAAUAACGAGACGGUUCUCUAUGAGGCCUGUCAUCGGAAUGGGUACAGUUUAAAUCCUUUAACGAGGAUCUAUUGGAGGGCAAGUCUGGUGCCAGCAGCCGCGGUAAUUCCAGCUCCAAAAGCGUAUAUUAAAGUUGUUGCGGUUAAAAAGCUCGUAGUUGGAUCUACGCCUUAGGUUGGUGGUCCCCCAAAAGGGUGGUACUGCCCUACCUGGGCUAUUUUUCUGGUUUUCCCUUGGUGCUCUUUACCGAGUGCUUUGGGUGACUGGAACGUUUACUUUGAAAAAAUUAGAGUGCUCAAAGCAGGCGAUCCGCCUGAAUAGUGGUGCAUGGAAUAAUAGAAUAGGACUUCGGUUCUAUUUUGUUGGUUUUCGGAACUCGAGGUAAUGAUUAAGAGGGACAGACGGGGGCAUUCGUAUUGCGACGUUAGAGGUGAAAUUCUUGGAUCGUCGCAAGACGCACAACUGCGAAAGCAUUUGCCAAGAAUGUUUUCAUUAAUCAAGAACGAAAGUUAGAGGUUCGAAGGCGAUCAGAUACCGCCCUAGUUCUAACCGUAAACGAUGCCAGCUAGCGAUCCGCGGAAGUUAUUUUAUGACUUCGCGGGCAGCUUCCGGGAAACCAAAGCUUUUGGGUUCCGGGGGAAGUAUGGUUGCAAAUCUGAAACUUAAAGGAAUUGACGGAAGGGCACCACCAGGAGUGGAGCCUGCGGCUUAAUUUGACUCAACGCGGGGAAACUCACCCGGCCCGGACACCGUAAGGAUUGACAGAUUGAAAGCUCUUUCACGAUUCAGUGGGUGGUGGUGCAUGGCCGUUCUUAGUUGAUGGAGCGAUUUGUCUGGUUAAUUCCGAUAACGAGCGAGA